GACGAACGCUGGCGGCGUGCCUAAUACAUGCAAGUAGAACGCUGAAGGAGGAGCUUGCUUCUCUGGAUGAGUUGCGAACGGGUGAGUAACGCGUAGGUAACCUGCCUGGUAGCGGGGGAUAACUAUUGGAAACGAUAGCUAAUACCGCAUAAUAUUGACUAUUGCAUGAUAGUCAGUUGAAAGGUGCAACUGCACCACUACCAGAUGGACCUGCGUUGUAUUAGCUAGUUGGUGGGGUAACGGCUCACCGAGGCGACGAUACAUAGCCGACCUGAGAGGGUGAUCGGCCACACUGGGACUGAGACACGGCCCAGACUCCUACGGGAGGCAGCAGUAGGGAAGCUUAGGCAAUGGACGGAAGUCUGACCGAGCAACGCCGCGUGAGUGAAGAAGGGUUUCGGAUCGUAAAGCUCUGUUGUAAGAGAAGAACGAGUGUGAGAGUGGAAAGCUCACACUGUGACGGUAUCUUACCAGAAAGGGACGGCUAACUACGUG
RNAcentral lists this ribosomal RNA (495 nucleotides) under uncultured bacterium. RNAcentral describes it as "partial 16S ribosomal RNA". It matches the Rfam family "Bacterial small subunit ribosomal RNA", at positions 28 to 507 of the family's 1533-position model. The record is from RNAcentral.